UUUCGGAUGGAUUCUGAGAUGACUGAGUGGCGGACGGGUGAGUAACACGUGGAUAACCUGCCUCACACUGGGGGACAACAGUUAGAAAUGACUGCUAAUACCGCAUAAGCGCACAGUACCGCAUGGUACAGUGUGAAAAACUCCGGUGGUGUGAGAUGGAUCCGCGUCUGAUUAGCCAGUUGGCGGGGUAAUGGCCCACCAAAGCGACGAUCAGUAGCCGACCUGAGAGGGUGACCGGCCACAUUGGGACUGAGACACGGCCCAAACUCCUACGGGAGGCAGCAGUGGGGAAUAUUGCACAAUGGGCGAAAGCCUGAUGCAGCGACGCCGCGUGAGUGAAGAAGUAUUUCGGUAUGUAAAGCUCUAUCAGCAGGGAAGAUAAUGACGGUACCUGACUAAGAAGCCCCGGCUAACUACGUGCCAGCAGCCGCGGUAAUACGUAGGGGGCAAGCGUU
Molecule: ribosomal RNA, 455 nt
Filed under: uncultured bacterium
Lineage: Bacteria
Description: bacterial SSU rRNA
Rfam family: Bacterial small subunit ribosomal RNA
Source: RNAcentral